This is a long non-coding RNA of Mirounga angustirostris (Northern elephant seal), 3345 nucleotides long. RefSeq lists it as uncharacterized. The transcript is spliced from 4 exons. Lineage: Eukaryota; Metazoa; Chordata; Mammalia; Carnivora; Phocidae. The record is from RefSeq and is a predicted model, not a curated record.
GUCCCUGGAUCGAGUCCCGCAUCGGGCUCCCUGCUCAGCAGGGAGUCUGCUUCUCCCUCUGACCCUCCCCCCUCUCAUGUGCUCUCUCUCAUUCAUUCUCUCUCUCUCUCUCUCUCUCUCUCUCUCUCUGUCUCAAAUAAAUAAACAAACAAACAAACAAACAAAUAAAUAAAUAAAUAAAAUCUUAAAAAAAAAAAAUUCCCCCCGCCUUACAAAGCAGAGACUGGUGAAGGGUCCUCCAAGUGCCCUCUGGAAAUCAAGAGCUUCUGUAUCAAGAGGCUGGAAAACGCAUCUUCCCCUUCUUCCUGGUGAAUCCAAUUCUAGGGGUUGAUUCAAAGGAAAUCAUGUUUUAGAUGCUAAAACGUAAAGCUUACUUUUGCAAAAAUGUGCAUCGCGGCAUAGGGUUUAGGAAUCCCUUGUGGCAGACCGACAACCGUGUGUCCCUCACGUCCCGGCACGUGUGCACCCUCACGUCCUAUGACUUCGAUGCUCCUGCUAUCCAGAGGUAGGCUUGAUUGCUCUGUCCCUUGAUUUUGGACCGGGUCUUGGGACUUGUCUUGACCCAAAGAAUAGAGCAGAAGUGACACUUGGCUGGUUUCACAGCCUACACCUGAAGAGGUGGUCUGCCGGCGUUCUCGACCUUCUUGGCAUGCCGUCCUGAGACCUCCACGUAAGAAAGCCAGUCUAGCUGACUGGAGCAUGAGAGGCAUUGACAACAGAGGCAGCCCGGUGCUCGGCGGCACCGACUGCCAGACGUGUGAAAGUUGACCCUCUGGCCGAAAGCCACUGCUUGAGUGAGCCCGGCGUAAACCCGCAGAACCCAAGGGGCCACCCAGGGCAAGCACCAGGAAGUUAUCGAUAAAGAAAUGCUGUUUCGAGCCAUUGCGGUGUUAGGAUGAUGCACCCUGAGGAUCAGCUAGCUGCGCAGCAGCGAUAGAUACCGUGCACACAGAUACACACCACACAACACACCACACCACACCCCCCCCCCACACACACGUGUGCAGAAAACCAAACCAACGAAACAAACCAAAACUCUGUAGAACCCUGCACCAAAUGUUGAGGAAACAACGGCCCACCCUCACAAGAAACACCUGCACGCUACAUGUACAAUGCAUAGGGAGCCUAUACUUGCAAGUGCUUACUUGCAUGGGAAACAUUUCACGAUAACAUGAGUCUCAGAUGGCCCAAGCGGGGUUCUUUUGACAUGUCUGAAUUGUGUACACAAUUAGAGAAAGCCUGCUAGGAGACUGGGUGAUCAGAAACUAGGAAGCUCUUUGGUUCCCUCAGUGAAGCCCCGACUUUUGGGGAGGAACCAACACUCAGGGAGAUGCUCUGGUCUUCAUUUGGUUGGUUGGUUGGUUGGUUGGUUGGUUGGUUGGUUGCUGCAGCUUUUGCUAUCUUUGCAUAAAACCGACCCUGUUUCCAUUGGGAAUGGAAAACAACUGACGGGUGGGAUCUGUACACGGUAAUGCUGCUUCGCAGUUGCAUUUGUUUUACUAAAAGAGGGAGAUUUGAACAUUGGGUCUUUCGUGUCCUCUCCAUUCAUGUCCUCUCCACAAAUAAGACUGAAACAAAGGCUAAAAUUUGUUUGCAUCUUGUUUGUGUCUAUGUGUCCGUAUGUGUUAUACAUGUGAGGUAUUUCCUCCACCUCCGGGUGCUAUUGCUAACAUCCAUUUGUAAAGGAGCUCUAUUUAAUGAGUUCUAUUUUUAUUUUAUUUUAUUUUAUUUUAUUUAUUUUAUUCUUUAAAGAUUUUAUUUAUUUAUUUGACAGAGAGAGACACAGCGAGAGAGGGAACACAAGCAGGCGGAGUGGGAGAGGGAGAAGCAGGCUUCCCGCCGAGCAGGGAGCCCGAUGCAGGGGCUUGAUCCCAGGACCCUCGGAUCAUGACCUGAGCUAAAGGCAGACGCUUAACCACUGAGCCAUCCAGUCAAAAUAAUGAAGAAGAGGAGGAAGACAGGCCGAUGCUAGAAAUCUGAAAUCCACUCCUCCUCCUCCCCAAGUACAGGCACCAGAACCGAUGCCCAACCCACUGGCUUCCGGAGGGCUGAAAAGCCACCACAGACAAAGCCUAUUAAGCAGAAGGAGAUGAAGAAAGGGGCGGAGGCGGAGGCGGAGGCGGAGGCGGAGGCGGAGGCGGAGGCGGAGGCGGAGGCGGAGGCGGAGGCGGAGGCGGAGGCGGAGGCGGAGGCGGAGGCGGAGGCGGAGGCGGAGAAGAAAAAAAAGAAAAGGCCCUGCUACCAAAUACUGGCUGUCUCUGCAGAAGUCUGGACUCAAGGUCAACUGAUAAUGGCUGCAGCCUAUGAAGAAGCGAGGUCCUGAUUCCUUACCUGAGAAAAGGAGCCUAAGACCCCAUCCAGGUUGUACCAGCUCUCAGAGCAUGCCCACAGCCUCUUCUCCUUGUCCUCAGAUAACCUCCUGACAUCAGGGACUCAGUUUUGCCUCAUUCAGAUGUCAGGUCUCCACCCCGAAGUAAACAUGGGAAUCUAUGAGAAAUUAGAUCCCAUCCAGCAAGAGCUGAAUCCGAGUCCUCUGCUCACCCCACGACGGAAAAGAAUAUGCACAGGCCUGCAUCCCUCUUCUCCUUCUCCACCAUGUCGGAAGAAAAGGUGGCCCUCCCUCCUCCCAUCAGAACCCAAACCCGAGAUAAGACUUAGAUAUAAAGGAAACCAGCAUACUGUUUUGAACUCUAUAUACACUUGUAAAAAACGAGCAGCGGCAAGGAAACACACAAACCACCACCCCCCCCCCCCCCACACACAGGUGCAAGGAGGGUGCGCUGACUCGCUGAAUCUCCCCCUUUUCUCCCGAGAGGCAUCCCCCCCAUCCCCCGCCCCCCCCCGAAGAUGUCCUCCCUAUGCCGGAAGGGGAGUGAGUGACGUUCUUUUCUUCCUUUUUUUUUUUUUUUAAAUUAUUCUUUUUAAAAGACUUUUAUUUAUUUGAGAGGAGGGGUGGGGGGAGGGAGGGGGGAGGGAGGGAGAGAGAGAGAGAGAGAGAGAGAUUGAGAGAGAGAGAAGCAGAGUCUCCGCCGAGCAGGGAGCCCGAUGUGGGGCUGGAUCCCCGGACCCUGAGCUCAGGGCCUGAGCCGAAGGCAGGCGGACGGUUCACGGAUUGAGCCAGCCAGGCGCCCCAGCUUUCUUGUUUCUUUGUCUGCCUGCUUGCCUGCGUGUUGGGUCUGUGGAUGUCUGAUGCCUGCCCUCUGAUUUCGUGGGGAGGUGGGCCGUCUUUCCUCCUUCCAAUGGCCUUUGCGCAUUUGUCAAACUUCUGUCGGGCUUGGGCCUAUCUGUUUGGGUAUCUGUGGCGUUCCAUCCACCGACCUGUCUCUUUUGUCUGCCAACAUCACA